ACUCAAAGGAAUUGACGGGGGCCCGCACAAGCAGCGGAGCGUGUGGUUUAAUUCGAUGCUACACGAAGAACCUUACCAGGGCUUGACAUGUUAGAAGUAGGGACCCGAAAGGGCGACGACCUGUAUCCAAUCAGGAGCUUUCACAGGUGCUGCAUGGCUGUCGUCAGCUCGUGCCGUGAGGUGUUGGGUUAAGUCCCGCAACGAGCGCAACCCUCGUGCUAUGUUGAUUUCUCAUAGCAGACUGCCUUGUACAGCAAGGAGGAAGGUGGGGAUGACGUCAAGUCAGCAUGGCCUUUAUGCCCUGGGCUACACACACGCUACAAUGGGUGGGUACAGAGGGCUGCCACGACGCAAGUCGGAGCGAAUCCCUUAAAACCAUCCUCAGUUCGGAUUGCAGGCUGCAAUCGCCUGCAUGAAGCCGGAGCUGCUAGUAACCGCAGGUCAGCUAUACUGCGGUGAAUACGUUCUCGGGCCUUGUACACACCGCCCGU
RNAcentral lists this ribosomal RNA (491 nucleotides) under uncultured bacterium. RNAcentral's name for it is "bacterial SSU rRNA". It matches the Rfam family "Bacterial small subunit ribosomal RNA", at positions 899 to 1397 of the family's 1533-position model. The record is from RNAcentral.